Molecule: non-coding RNA, 148 nt
Organism: Caenorhabditis elegans
Lineage: Eukaryota; Metazoa; Nematoda; Chromadorea; Rhabditida; Rhabditidae
Source: Ensembl
UUAUCCACGCCUUUUCCGUGUCUCGUGUCACCCGCCGUCUUUUGUCUCAAGUAUGUGUUUUGACUCGUUGAUCUUUUUUGACACGUACCCGUGGGUGUUUGCGGUACGCCGCCAGAACUCAGAAUUCGAAACAGAGAACUCACAUCAU